UACGUAGGGUGCAAGCGUUGUCCGGAAUUAUUGGGCGUAAAGAGCUCGUAGGCGGUUUGUCGCGUCGGGAGUGAAAACCCAGGGCUUAACUCUGGGCUUGCUUUCGAUACGGGCAGACUAGAGGUAUGCAGGGGAGAACGGAAUUCCUGGUGUAGCGGUGAAAUGCGUAGAUAUUGGGAGGAACACCAGUGGCGAAGGCGGCUACCUGGACCGGUUCUGACGCUGAGGCGCGAAAGCGUGGGUAGCAAACAGG
This 253-nucleotide ribosomal RNA is filed under the name uncultured bacterium. RNAcentral's name for it is "partial 16S ribosomal RNA". It matches the Rfam family "Bacterial small subunit ribosomal RNA", at positions 524 to 776 of the family's 1533-position model. The record is from RNAcentral.